RNAcentral lists this ribosomal RNA (252 nucleotides) under uncultured bacterium. RNAcentral's name for it is "partial 16S ribosomal RNA". It matches the Rfam family "Bacterial small subunit ribosomal RNA", at positions 524 to 776 of the family's 1533-position model. The record is from RNAcentral.
UACGGGGGGGCAAGCGUUGUUCGGAAUUACUGGGCGUAAAGGGCUCGUAGGCGGCCAACUAAGUCGGAUGUGAAAUCCCCAGGCUCAACUUGGGAACUGCAUCCGAUACUGGAUGGCUUGAAUUCGGGAGAGGGAUGCAGAAUUCCAGGUGUAGCGGUGAAAUGCGUAGAUAUCGAGAGGAACACCUGCGGCGAAGGCGGGUUGCUGGGCUGAUACUGACGCUGAUGCGCGAAAGCCAGGGGAGCGAACGGG